AAAGCCUUGACUCUCGGAGGGGGUGCACGCACGCUGCCGUCUCUCCCGCACACCACGCGUCAGCUGAUUUCACGAUUUUCCCCAAGUGGCUUCAAUCAACACAAGAAAACUAAUUGACACGGAGGAAAAAGAGAAAGAGAAAGAGAAAGUUAAUAGUUAAUAUACUGUGGAUCAAAUAUACACGUACAUUUUUUUUUCUUCUAUUUGGAGAAAACUAACCACGCCCUUUAAAUAUAAGAGUUAAUCAUAGUCGUUAAAGAACGCUCACGGUCAGCGGUUUUGUGAAAUUAUAGCAACAAUACAGCGCAGAAAGCGAGCGAAUUCGCGCUAUCAUCCAUCGUCAUCAGCCGCCAUUUUGGCAGAGAAAGUGCGCACGCAUCUCGCGACUCAUUUGUUUCCCGGCCUUGUGGAUUUUCUUUUUAUCUAUUUAAAUGAGAUAUCUAUCACUUACUGUGAAUGAUUUUUCGUUUAUCCUAAGCGAAGAAUGUAUUAGUAUUAAUUGUGAUUGUUGAAAAGUGAAAAACACAUAUAGUUGAAUGCAGGAGAGACGAUUUUAUAGAAUAAACAUAUAGAUAAACAUUCAUUGAAGACAAAGAAAAAUAACAGAAGAAAGAGGCAAAAACUAGAAAGCAAAAAAGAGAAAAGAAAAAGAAGAAAAAAAAACAAAGCCAUAAAAAGCAAGACACAUGCCGAUCAUAUAGUUAGUCAGUCUUCUGCUAGUCAUCCACAGCUUAACCUUUGAUCACUUUUCGUCCAAUUUUCACUAACCCCGCCAGCAAGAUGAGCAGGUGGCCGACUGUGUUCUUCCUGCUGCCUCUGCUUCUGCUGCUGACGUGGACAGCGCCUUCAGAAGCUACCUGCGGCUCGUGUAAUGAACGGCUGAAAGUGUCCAUCAUAUGUUGUUUGUUCGAAGGAAAAUGCUGCGUAUUAGGACCUGUAGCCAUCGGCAAGCGUGACGUCACAUCGGCGUUGGAGCGACAUCCCUGGAGUGAUGACGUAGUUGAUGACGUAGUUGAUGACGUCAGCAGCAGAAUCGUCCAUCCACAUGCCCGCCCGCGCUGACCUGACCUGGAUUGACCUAAUUUUAAUUUCUUUUGUUAAGGGUUUACUAUAUUAGUUUUUUGUUUGUUUGUUUGAUUUGUAUAUUUUUUUGUUAAAGUAUCUUGUCAAAAUGGAGUAUUUUUUUAAAAGAAGGUACUUAUUAAUAAAGUUAAUGUUGAUGAUGCUGUGUAAUUGCAUAGCCAUGCUCGCAAUCAAAAAGUGAUAAUGAAAAUGAUAAUUUUGUGGAAGUUUUUUUUUCUUUUCAUACACUGUUGCUCGUGUUAUACUUAAUAUCUUUUUUAAAAGUAUAUUGAUAUUUCUUUAAAAAAGAUGAUGUGUUUAUGAUUACCACCGAAAUUAUUCUACAAGUGUCACUCAUCUAUUAUAGGGAAUUACUUGGAACAGCUGCGGUUAUUAGCCAUUGAAUAUACGUACUAUGCACGCACACACACACACACACACACACACACACACACACACACACACACACACACACACACACACACACACACACACACACUAGUGGGGAAGGGUGCUACAAGCCCCCCACCCCACACACACACACCCUCUUCCCCCAAAAAAUGUUAAAAUUUGUUAAUAUUCUCAUGCAAACACAUAUUAAACUGAAUGAUCAAGUUAUCAAUAUGCAACCGUUCGGAUUUCAGUUCGGAUGACAAAAUAAAAGAAUAACAUACCAUUUUCUAUUGCAAAGACGUUCCUUAAAUGUUGGUUAACUACAUAUAUAUAUAUAUAUAUAUAUAUAUAUAUAUAUAUAUAUAUAUAUAUAUAUAUAUAUAUAUAUAUAUUUGUAUUAUGGCAUAUUAGAAUACAUUUUGGGCUUAAUUUCCCUAGUAAGUUAACAAUACAUCUCAUUCUUCAAAUAGGGGGGGGGGAUACGCCCCUCCCCCCGUUUCGCCACAGAAAUAAACACAGACAACAAACAAAAAAACAAGAACAUUAGUCAAUAUAUAAAGAUUCAUACAUUUUCAUAAACGUCAUAAAUUUUCACCUAAAUAGACUUCCAUGAUUUUCUAAUGCAACACAUACUAGAAAUUUUCUAGAUAUUGCUAGGCUGUCCUCUAUAAUUAUCCAAUAUAAAUGUGGUGAUAAAAACCUUAACAUUAAGUGAUUCACAUUUGAAAUAAGGAUUAUUUUGUCGAAUAAUCUUUCUUUAUGAUAAGGAAAUAGUGUAUGGCUUUUUAAGAGCUUUGUAUAGUAGAAUAAGUAAUAUGGCACAGUAAGUGGCAACCUUCUGAAUGUUGACUACCUAAAACCAUUUAUAUAUAUAUAUAUAUA
This 2337-nucleotide long non-coding RNA is filed under the name Penaeus japonicus. RNAcentral describes it as "uncharacterized LOC122268104". Lineage: Eukaryota; Metazoa; Arthropoda; Malacostraca; Decapoda; Penaeidae. The record is from RNAcentral.